RNAcentral lists this ribosomal RNA (460 nucleotides) under uncultured bacterium. RNAcentral describes it as "partial 16S ribosomal RNA". It matches the Rfam family "Bacterial small subunit ribosomal RNA", at positions 338 to 795 of the family's 1533-position model. The record is from RNAcentral.
CCUACGGGAGGCAGCAGUGAGGAAUAUUGGUCAAUGGGCGGAAGCCUGAACCAGCCAAGUCGCGUGAGGGAAUAAGGCCCUACGGGUCGUAAACCUCUUUUGCCGGAGAGCAAGGGCCGAGACGCGUACCUGCCCGGAGAGUACCCGGAGAAAAGGCCUCGGCUACCUCCGUGCCAGCAGCCGCGGAAAUACGGGGGAUGCGAGCGUUAUCCGGAUUUAUGGGGUUUAAGGGUUGCUCGGGCGGAGGCACAAGUCAGGGGUAAAAUCGCGGGGCUAAACCCCGCUCCGCCGUUGAAACUGUGUCCCUUGAGAGUGCGAAGGGUAGGCGGAAUGCGUGGUGUAGCGGUGAAAUGCAUAGAGAUCAUGCAGAACUCCGAUCGCGAAGGCAGCUUACCGGGGCGCAACUGACGUUCAGGCACGAAAGCGUGGGUAUCGAACAGGAUUAGAUACCCUUGUAGUC